RNAcentral lists this non-coding RNA (21 nucleotides) under Caenorhabditis elegans. Lineage: Eukaryota; Metazoa; Nematoda; Chromadorea; Rhabditida; Rhabditidae. The record is from RNAcentral.
UGCUUUUUCAUUUAUUAUCUG